RNAcentral lists this ribosomal RNA (817 nucleotides) under uncultured Campylobacter sp. Its description in RNAcentral is "bacterial SSU rRNA". It matches the Rfam family "Bacterial small subunit ribosomal RNA", at positions 567 to 1381 of the family's 1533-position model. Lineage: Bacteria; Pseudomonadati; Campylobacterota; Epsilonproteobacteria; Campylobacterales; Campylobacteraceae. The record is from RNAcentral.
GCGCGUAGGCGGAUUAUCAAGUCUCUUGUGAAAUCCAACGGCUUAACCGUUGAACUGCUUGGGAAACUGGUAGUCUAGAGUGAGGGAGAGGCAGAUGGAAUUGGUGGUGUAGGGGUAAAAUCCGUAGAUAUCACCAAGAAUACCCAUUGCGAAGGCGAUCUGCUGGAACUUAACUGACGCUAAGGCGCGAAAGCGUGGGGAGCAAACAGGAUUAGAUACCCUGGUAGUCCACGCCCUAAACGAUGUACACUAGUUGUUGGGGUGCUAGUCAUCUCAGUAAUGCAGCUAACGCAUUAAGUGUACCGCCUGGGGAGUACGGUCGCAAGAUUAAAACUCAAAGGAAUAGACGGGGACCCGCACAAGCGGUGGAGCAUGUGGUUUAAUUCGAAGAUACGCGAAGAACCUUACCUGGGCUUGAUAUCCUAAGAACCUCUUAGAGAUAAGAGGGUGCUAGCUUGCUAGAACUUAGAGACAGGUGCUGCACGGCUGUCGUCAGCUCGUGUCGUGAGAUGUUGGGUUAAGUCCCGCAACGAGCGCAACCCACGUAUUUAGUUGCUAACGGUUCGGCCGAGCACUCUAAAUAGACUGCCUUCGUAAGGAGGAGGAAGGUGUGGACGACGUCAAGUCAUCAUGGCCCUUAUGCCCAGGGCGACACACGUGCUACAAUGGCAUAUACAAUGAGACGCAAUACCGCGAGGUGGAGCAAAUCUAUAAAAUAUGUCCCAGUUCGGAUUGUUCUCUGCAACUCGAGAGCAUGAAGCCGGAAUCGCUAGUAAUCGUAGAUCAGCCAUGCUACGGUGAAUACGUUCCCGGGUCU